UUAUUUUCCUUAUGUAGUUUAAAUCAUAUCGAAUAUUCAGCAAAUUAACUUCUUCAGUAUUAAGCUCUUAUCCUGCUUUGAUUAAUUCUUAACAAACCUCGCCUCUUCUAAAUAUUGAACUGUCCACAUAAGAAACAUUGAUGGGGGUGGGAAAUUUUAAUUUUUCAACUUUUUUUUAUAGUGGAAGUGUUUGUUCCUCCUUGUGUAUCAACUCCAGAAUUUAUCCAUGCUGCUAUGAGGCCAGAUGUCAUUACAGAAACUGUAGUGGAGGUGUCAACUGAAGAGUCUGAACCCAUGGAUACCUCUCCUAUUCCAACAUCACCAGAUAGCCAUGAACCAAUGAAAAAGAAAAAAGUUGGCCGUAAACCAAAGACCCAGCAAUCACCAAUUUCCAAUGGGUCUCCUGAGUUAGGUAUAAAGAAGAAACCAAGAGAAGGAAAAGGAAACACAACCUAUUUGUGGGAGUUUCUUUUAGAUCUACUUCAAGAUAAAAAUACUUGUCCCAGGUAUAUUAAAUGGACUCAGAGAGAAAAAGGCAUAUUCAAGCUGGUGGAUUCAAAGGC
RNAcentral lists this small RNA (563 nucleotides) under Pan troglodytes (chimpanzee). RNAcentral describes it as "retained intron". The record is from RNAcentral. Lineage: Eukaryota; Metazoa; Chordata; Mammalia; Primates; Hominidae.